Molecule: non-coding RNA, 3134 nt
Organism: Dermatophagoides farinae (American house dust mite)
Lineage: Eukaryota; Metazoa; Arthropoda; Arachnida; Sarcoptiformes; Pyroglyphidae
Source: RefSeq, a predicted model, not a curated record
AUUAACAACAUUGGGUUGAAUCUUAUUUUGUAAUAAUUUGAUCAUAAUAUUUGGACCUUUAAUUAUUAGUGGUAAUCUAAUAUCGAAAAAAAUCAUUCAAUAAUUAUGGCUGAUAGUGAUGAUGAUUACGAUCGACGUCGUGGCCGUGAUAAAUUCCGGCGCGAAAGAAAUGAUUACAAUGAUCGAAAUAUAAAUAAUCGCCGUGAUGAUUGGGCACCGGAUAGUUGGUCACAACGUGAUCGCAAUCAAAGCGGUCGACGUGAUUAUCGAGAUAAUUAUAAUUCAGGUCGAAUGAAUUAUUCCCGUAAUGAUCGUUAUAGUCCUGCGGAUCGUAGCGGUGAUAUGAGUCCACCAAUGAAACGAAUACGUUCUACUGGUGGACGCGAUUGGGAUGAACGUUAUUCCAAUUAUGAUAGUGGAUAUCAUGGUGGUGGUGGUGCUGGUGGUGGCGGAGGUCAUCAUGUUGCUUCACAUUAUAAUCGCGAUAGUUAUGGACAACAUGAUCGUGAACGAGAUGAUGAAUUAUAUCAACCACCAAUGAUGACUGUAAAACAAUUCGUUAAUGAACAAGAUGAUCAUCUUGAUAGUGAAAUUCUUAUUUCUAAAUAUAAUGAUUAUAAAUGCGAAUUUAAACGUACACAGAUACAGGAAUUUUUUAAUCGCCAUAAAGAUGAAGAAUGGUUUCGAUGUAAAUAUUAUCCGGAUGAGAUGGAAAAACGAAAAACGAAAAUGCAACAAACGUAUCAGAAUCGAUUGAAUGUUUUCAUGGAAUUAUAUGAAAAGAAAUAUUUUGAAAAUGUUUCACUAGAUGUUGAUAAAGCUGAACAGAUAAUCAAAGUAUUGGAUGCUGCCGUUAUUAAAAUGGAAGGUGGAAACGAUUUUGAUCUGAAUGCUCUAAACAAUGAAUUUGAUGAACAGCAGCAACAACAAAAAAAUAUUGAUUCGAUUUUUGCUAUCGAUUCAUCAUCGACAACAAAAUCAUCAUUUAUAUCAACGGCAGCUCCAGCAGUUGGUUCAUCCGUUUCAUCUAGUUUUGGCGAUAAAACGGACGAUAAUGUAGUCAAUAAUAAUGAGAAUGAUGGUGAUAAUGAUAAAAUGCCUGAUGAAUCUGAUGAGAAAAUGAAUGAAGAAAAACCGGAUGAAACAAAUGUCGUUGAUGAAGAAAAACAAAUGUCCGAAGAUGGUGAAGUAUCACAAACACUGAAACCAAUGAUGGAUGAUGGUGCUGAAAGUGGUGAUGGUGAAUUGAUUGAAGAAGGCGAAGAUGCAAGCAAAGAUGAUAAUGAUGAACAACAACAACAACAACAUACUGAUUCCAAACAACAACAGCAGCAGCAACAAUCACAAGAAAAAAAUGAAUGUGAAAAUUCCAAUGAAAAGAAACCGCGAGCUUUGCAUAAGACUUGUUCGAUAUUUUUUCGCAAUAUAGCACCAUCAAUCACACGUCAAGAAAUUGAAGAUGAAUGUCGUAAAUUUCCUGGAUUUUUACGUUUGGCAAUUUCUGAACCACAAAUGGAUCGACGAUUUAAUCGCCGUGGAUGGGCAACCUAUGAACGCACGGUUAAUAUUCGUGAAAUCUGUUGGAAUCUAAACAAUGUUAAAAUUCGAGGAACUGAACUUAGUCCGAUUGUUAAUCGAGAUCUAACUAGACGCAUUCGAUCAAUCAAUGGAAUAUCAUCGGAUAAAACCGUUGUACGUGCAGAUAUCCGACAUGCGGCAAAAUUAAUUAUGAAACUUGAUCAGCAAAAAAAAUUAUGGGAAGAAACCUUAGAUGAAACAAACACCGAACCACAAAAUGGUUCGACGAAUACAUUGUCCACUCCAUCACGUAAUCCAUUGAUGAAAAAUAUUACCGAUUAUCUGAUUGAAGAAGCACCAGCUGAAGAAGCUGAAUUAUUGGGCACAUCAGUGGAAGAUCCGGCAAUCGUUUCGCCAGAAAUCGAUGAAUCCUGCGAAGCGAAUGGCAAUGCAACAGGCUCGAAUGAAGGCACACAAUUGGAAAGAGAUGAAGAUUUGAUCAAAGUUCUGGAUCGGCUUUUGUUCUAUCUACGAAUCGUACAUUCAAUUGAUUAUUACAAUCAUUGUGACUAUGCCAAUGAAGAUGAAAUGCCAAAUCGUAUCGGCCUGGUUCAUGCACGCGGUCUAAUUUCAUCGGCUCGUGUUACAUCUGUCGAAAUAACAGAAUAUAUAAAAGAUUUUGAAAAUAGGAUUCUAUCGACAUUAUUGAAACCGAUUCCAGAGAUUACGCCUGAAGAAGCAAAUAAAUUAGGCUUGAAAGUUAUUGACGAUUCAGUUGAUGCAUUCAUCAAAGAAAACACAAAAGAAUUGGGUGAAGGAAAAUGGCUAUGUCCAUUAUCGAAUAAAAAGUUUAUGGGACCAGAAUUUGUUCGUAAACAUAUACUGAAUAAACAUGGUGAACGUGUCGAACAGGUUAAAGCAGAGACAGUCUAUUUUAAUAAUUAUAUAAUGGACCCGAAACGACCACAAUUACCGGAACAUCCAUUGAAUCGUCCACAAAAUAAUCAACAACCAUUGCAACAACAGCAAACAACAAGACAUGAACCACUUCUUAGUGGACCACAUGGUUUUGGUUAUAAUCAUCGUGGUGGUAAUCAUAUGCCAAGCUUAAUGGCUGGUGGUGGUUAUCUACGAUAUCCAAAUGCUGGUCCACAUCCACCACCAUAUCUAUUGCAUGGACAGAUUAUGGAUCCAUAUAUGCGACCAAAUCUUAAAAGACGGGAACCAUCAGCAUCGCGUGACACUGUCGAUUAUGAUGACGUUGCCUUCGAGGAAUUGAUCUGAACAAAAUUCUCUUGACAUAGAUAAUCAAUAAUUGAUUAUUGCCAUUCUUCCAUGAUAUCGUGAUCUUGAUGCACCAAUCGAAGAAUAAAUUGAAAUGAAUUUAAAUCAAUUUUAUAGAUAUAUAUAGAUGUUCGAAAGAAUCGUCCACAAACAAACAAAUCAAAUAAUUCGUGAAUGAUGUAUUGUUGAAUGUGACAAAUUUAUAUAUAAACCACACGCAUCAAAAUACCCAGCCACCCAUCCAUCUAUCCAUUCAUUCAUUCACUCGCUUACUCACUCACUGAUGAAUACAUACAUUGAUUGAUUGAAAUAAAAAUCGGGCAUCAAAAGUA